This 422-nucleotide ribosomal RNA is filed under the name Gemella haemolysans. Its description in RNAcentral is "bacterial SSU rRNA". It matches the Rfam family "Bacterial small subunit ribosomal RNA", at positions 28 to 438 of the family's 1533-position model. Lineage: Bacteria; Bacillati; Bacillota; Bacilli; Caryophanales; Gemellaceae. The record is from RNAcentral.
GACGAACGCUGGCGGCGUGCCUAAUACAUGCAAGUCGAGCGAAGUUUUUUUGGUGCUUGCACCGGAAAAACUUAGCGGCGAACGGGUGAGUAACACGUAAAGAACCUGCCUCAUAGACUGGGACAACUAUUGGAAACGAUAGCUAAUACCGGAUAACAGCAUUAACUGCAUGGUUGAUGUUUAAAAGUUGGUUUUGCUAACACUAUGAGAUGGCUUGCGGUGCAUUAGCUAGUUGGUGGGGUAAAGGCCUACCAAGGCGACGAUGCAUAGCCGACCUGAGAGGGUGAUCGGCCACACUGGGACUGAGACACGGCCCAGACUCCUACGGGAGGCAGCAGUAGGGAAUCUUCCGCAAUGGGCGAAAGCCUGACGGAGCAACGCCGCGUGAGUGAAGAAGGAUUUCGGUUCGUAAAGCUCUGUUG